UGAGGAAUAUUGCCCAAUGGGGGAAACCCUGAGGCAGCAACGCCGCGUGAACGAAGACGGCCUUCGGGUUGUAAAGUUCUUUUCUGGGGGACGAUGAUGACGGUACCCCAGGAAUAAGUUCCGACUAACUACGUGCCAGCAGCCGCGGUAAAACGUAGGGGACAAGCGUUAUCCGGAUUUACUGGGCGUAAAGCGCACGUAGGCGGUGAGGUAAGUUGGCCGUGUAAGCUCCCGGCUUAACUGGGAGAGGUCGGACAAAGCUGCCCCACUUGAGGCUGAGAGAGGAGAGCGGAAUUCCCGGUGUAGUGGUGGAAUGCGUAGAUAUCGGGAGGAACUCCAGUGGCGAAGGCGGCUCUCUGGCUCAGAACUGACGCUGAGGUGCGAAAGCGUGGGGAGCGAACGG
Molecule: ribosomal RNA, 403 nt
Filed under: uncultured bacterium
Lineage: Bacteria
Description: bacterial SSU rRNA
Rfam family: Bacterial small subunit ribosomal RNA
Source: RNAcentral